GGGCUUCCUUUGACAGGCAGAAACCUUAAAUAGAACCAGACUGAUGACAGUCAUCUGCUGAGACUGAGCUGGGUUUAUAGAGGGGAGAGAGGGGGACAGAGAAAGAGAGAGACCGGUGUUGAAGUUGAAGCAGCUGAAAACAGUGAGGUCCACAGCAGCGGAACGUCUGCAGCUGUGAUCCAGAGGAACCUACUGGAUGAUGGAGCUCAGGGACUCCCUCAGAAGACUGUGUUUGUUAUUCUAAUGGGACAUGAUGAUUCAAAGGUAAUGACAGAGACAGAAAGAGGAUGGAGAAGGAAGGUAAGGUGCUCUAUGUACCAGUACACCCUGCAGUCAGAAUCUGUAGCAGCAUAACUAAGAGGGACCUCAGUGAGCUGGAAAAGUAAUCGGGAACUACACUCUCUUCAAAGACCUACUCCGAUAAAAUUCAUGUUUUUCUUGUUGUUUUCUUGAUCAUAUGGCAUUUUUCUGAUGCUACAGGACAAAUCAUUAGCAAACUAAGUGUGGAAUUGCAUUUCUGAGUAUUUCUGCAUUUAAAUCGCUGUGAACCUAUGACAGACCCAAAUGGCAAGUUGAGAUACAGUGAGAUUACCUACAUCAAAUGUAGGCCCCACCCUGCAGGCCAGACUCGGAGAAGUAGAGAGGGGGACAAGUGUGGGAGGUAGGGAAUUGCAAUACUGGUAAUUAUGAUAAUAACUUUCAUCAUGCCCCCAGACAUUAGUGUCCUAGCUGAAUAGCUCCUAUAUUACCUGCCACUUCUACUACAUUAGCCAUUUCAGGCUACAAGCUAAUGUGAGGAGGAGUGUGCAGAGCAGUGCUGUCUCUGCUCACGAUGCAGGGGUGAAUUGCUAAAGAGGUACUGAAGUGCUGCAGAAGAAAAGCCCUCAAAAAUGACAGGUAAUGUGAUUUUGGCUAAAAACUUUAUAAUCACAAUUUAAAGACCAUUGAUGAUGCUUUUAGUUUAAAAAAAGAAGAAAAAAAAACGUUCUCAGUGACUUUAUGACAUGAUGGUGCCUGUCCAUGGAGAGCUUGAGGCUUGUUGAUUAUGGGAGCCUAACCAAAUGUGUUGGCAAUGUUGAUGGACUACAGGUUUCAACUGGGCAGGCAUCAGGAUGGGAUUUUAUUGAUUUUAUUGAUUUGGAUUGUAUGUGAAGUUAAUUUAUAUCUCUGAGUUUGAAACAUAAAAUAACGAGGUCUCCUUGAAUGAGAGUAAAUGAUACAGGUGCACAGGUGAAACUACCCACUGAAGGCUGAAUUUAAACAGCAACCUUAGGUGACUGACGCAUUUCUUUCCUGAAGGUUCGGACUAUUUCUAUUCUGUCAGUGUGUCAGCUACCCAGCUGGAUUAUUCAGGCGCUCCAAUAAAUCCCAUCAUCAGCACACCCCCACCACUGUAAGGUCAGCCAAGGUCGUAACAAGUGUCCCUGGCUGUAGUCUGGUCUUCCUCCUAAUACUCCUUAUACCCCUACACUCUCUCCCUCUCUCUCUCUCUCUCUCUCUCUCUCUAUCUCUCUAUCUCUCUCUCUCUCUCUCUCUCUCUCCCAUCUGGUAACCUCUCUUGCCCUUUUUUUCUCCUUCAUACCAUCUCCAGCACACACACACACACACACACACACACACACACACACACACACACACACGCACACACACACACUUUAUUUUAUGUCUCUUUUCAGUAUUCAUGUUGCAGAGCAAAAGGCCUUUCUUCUUCUAUAUUUUAUGAAGUGUUCGAUGGCCUCUCUCCCUCUCAGUGGUAUAAUAUAUGUGUCCUUUAGGCUUCCAUUAACUGAUCCCCAUCUCACACACACACUUACAAUACACACUCAGACACACAAACAUAGCAGCCUCACCCACUCAGGGUAAAAUAGAUGGACAAAGUAUAGCCUUUUGGCAGGCCUGGCAUGAUGUGUGUGUGUGUGUGUGUGUGUGUGUGUGUGUGUGUGUGUGUGUGUGUGUGUGUGUGUGUGUGUGUGUUUGUUGUCCAUUAGACUGAAAGCCUUCCUCAAACUGAUUUCACUAUGCGUCUAAUGAUAUUUAACCCACCAGGCUAUUUUGAAAUGGGCCCUGGCUGUAAAGACACCUGAUGUAUGGUCCUGUGUGUGUGUGUGUGUGUGUGUGUGUGUGUGUGUGUGACCUGUUCCCACACAUCUACACACCAGGGCUGACACACACACACACACAUGCAGAGUCAUAAACUUGUGUGUUACUCUGCCCUUGCUGCUUUUAUCCUUAACUCCAGCAUCUAUCUACCUGAGGGUGAGCAGCUCAUUCAUUAGUUUUUCUGCUUCACAUUAUUAGCUCUGUUUAACCCCCAACAGUAUCUGCCCUGUAGAUCUGCUCAACUCAGCCGCAAUCAUAAUGAAACUGCAAAACCAACACUAAUAAAUAUGACUUACUCCUGCUAAGCAAGGUGUUUACCAUUUACAGAAAUGUAGUAUUGAUGGAGUGGAGAAUAAUGAUUAAAUUAAGCAGACUGAAAUCCACAACAUGAAUAUUUUAAGCCUGUACUGAUAACAGAUAAUAUACCUGACUGCCAAUACCAAUAAAAUAACCAAGACCUGUGGUUAAUGCAAACCCGAUAGUUAGAUAAGCAAAGAUAGAUGUAUUGAUCUCAAGAGGUGGAGACAGUCAAUUAUUUUAAAAACUCAGUUUACCAUUCAGUUGUUCAAUAACAAUAAUAGAGUCAGUAUUUUUUUUUUUUUAAACUCACUGAAAAGUUUGACUUUGGCCAGUGGGGUCCCCUUUGUCUGGAGCUUCAGUGAGAUGCUGAAGUCUUUAUCCAGGUGGACACUAUAAUUUAAAGCAGAUUCUGACCCAAUUUAGGGUCUCUGCAAGUUUGGUCAACCAUUAACCCUUUAAAGAUGUUGUUUGUCAAGCAGUAGGCCAGUCAAGCCGACCUGAUCAGCUGCUCUCCACGACUCGGAUGAAAUGUUGUCUCGUCAAAAAUUCAGCUUUUUGUGAGUGAAUCCGAGGUAAUUAAGUAACUUGCUUUCUACAAAACCCAAUUCAAUUGAAGUUGGGAAAUUGUGAUAAACGUAUAUAAAAACAGAAUACAAUGAUUUGCAAAUCAUUUUCAACCCAUAUUCAAUUGAAUAAACUACAAAGACAAGAUAUUUAGUGUUCAAACUCAUAAACUUGAUUUUUUUUUUUUUUUUGCAAAUAAUGAUUAACUCAGAAUUUCAUGGCUGCAACACGUGCCAAAGUAGUUGGGACAGGGGCAUGUUUACCACUGUGUUACAUCACCUUUCCUUUUAACAACACUCAAUAAACGUUUGUAAACUGAGGAGACUUAUUGUUGAAGCUUUGAAGGUGGAAUUCUUUCCCAUUCUUGCUUGAUGUACAGCCUUAGUUGUUCAACAGUCUGGCGUCUCUGUUGUUAUAUUUUACACUUCAUAAUGCACCUCACACUUUCAAUAGGAGACAGGUCUGGACUGCAGGCAGGCCAGUCGAGUACCUGCACUCUUUUACUAUAAAGCCAAGCUGUUGUAACGUGCAGAAUGUGGCUUGGCAUUGUGUUACUGAAAUAAGCAGGAAGGGCGUCCAUGAAAAAGAUGUUGCUUGGAUGGCAGCAUAUGUUGCUCCAAAACUGAUAAUAGUCCGGAUGGUUCUUUUCCUCUUCUGACCGGAGGACACGACUUCCGCUAUUUCCAGAAACAAUUUGAAAUGUGGACUUGUCAGACCACAGAACACUUUUCCACUUUGCAUCAGUCCAUUUUAGAUGAGCUCGGACCCAGAGAAGCAGGCAGCAUUUCUGGAUGUUGUUGAUAAUUGGUUUUCGCUUUGCAUAGUAGAGUAUCAAUGUGCACUUACAGAUGUAGCGACGAACUGUAUUUACUGACAGUGGUUUUCUGAAGUGUUCCUGAGCCCAUGCGGUGAUAUCCUUUACACAUUGAUGUUGGUUUUUGAUACAGUACCGCCUGAGGGAUCAAAGGUCACGGGCAGUCAAUGUUGGUUUCCUGGCCGUGCCGCUUCCGUGCAGUGAUUUCUCCAGAUUCUCUGAACCUUUUGAUGAUAUUAUGGACCGUAGAUUUUGAAAUCCCUAAAUUCCUUGCAACUGUACUUUAAGAAACGUUGUUCUUAAACUGUUUGGCUAUUUGCUCACACAGUUGUUCACAAAGUGGUGAACCUCACCCCAUCCUUGCUUGUGAAUGACUGAGAAUUUUUAGGGAAGCUGCUUUUAUACCCAAUCAUGGCACCCACCUGUUCCCAAUUAGCCUGCUCACCUGUGGGAUGUUCCAAAUAAGUGUUUGAUGAGCAUUCCUCAAAUUUCUCAGUAUUUUUUGCCACCUUUCUCAACUUCUUUGGCACGUGUUGCUGCCAUGAAAUCCUAAGUUAAUUAUUAUUUGCAAAUUAAAAAAAAGUUUAUAAGUUUGAACAUUAAAUAUCUUAUCUUUGUAGUGUAUUCAGCUGAAUAUAGGUUGAGAAGGAUUUGCAAAUCAUUUUAUUCUUUUUUUAUUUACCUUUAUCACAAUUUCCUAAUUUGAAUGGAAUUGGGUUUUGUAUUUGACAUAUCUUUCCAGAUAGUCCACUGCUGUCUGGCUGUGUGAAGGGGUUACAUGAGGUCAUGAUUUGUCGUCUGUUUGGAACAGCGCCACACACAGGAGGAUUUUCCAAGCUGUUUUUAUAGAAUAUAUUAGAUAAUGAAUGACUCAGUGAAAGUCAUGUUUUAGUCUUUGCCCAGAAAUUACUUUUGCCCAGUCAAAUUACUUGCAAUUCAAAACUAUAAUUGUGGACAUUGGAGUUGAUAAUCACAGUAAGUCUGUUACAGGUGCUCUCAAUGCUGUUCAUUCCAGGUUUAAGUUUAACAGCACAUCAGGGGCUUUGAACUCUUUGCAGACCUGACUUACUCUUCAAAAUAAAAGCACCCACAUUCAGUCUGUUAGACAGACUGAGCUGAACACAGUCUCAUCCUCAGUUUUAUUGAGCGAUUUAAAUACUGAAGGUGAGCUCUCCGGCAUCAGCAGCCAUUGAGCUUCAUGUAGGUUUAAAUAAUUACCUCAACUAGACCCUGAUCAAGUUUAAGCAAUAGCCAGAGUGAGCUAACGAUGAUUUAUGAAGGUGGUGUUAAAGGUUUGAGGAGGGCAGGGAGGGACAAUACACACCAACCCCCUGAAUGUAGAUUAAGACCGGUAUAUCUUUAAUUACUAUGAAUCACUGAUUCAGACUAAAAUUGUCCCAAUCAAAAACCAAGGGGACCUACAGAGGACAGGUAGAGGCAAUGUGACUGAUGUGACAGGUUCAGGAGGGGGGACCUCUUCUCUCUCAUAGUGGCCCACAUUUAUCAAUCUUGUGCAGAUCUGAGCGCAGAUCUGAGCACGGGAUUCAUAGUACGAUAGGACACACGUGAGAUUUAUGAAAGGAUUCCUAUCUGACCAAUCCCAGCGUACGUAUGAUCGGGUCUUGAUAAAUGCGGCGGCUGAAAUCGAUCGUCAUUAACAUGUUUACGCCCUUAAAUAUUCGUGGUUCAGAAGCCUCGCCCACUGAGGUCAAACAUGAAAGAGGAGAAAUAUUAGAAAGAUUUGAAACUUUUCCAAGCUGAAAGUGGAUAUCCUCACAUCUGUGGUGGAAACUGACAAGGAUUUUCUCUUUGGAAGCAUCAAAACUGGAAUAAAAGCAGUCCAGAAAACUUCUGUCUGGAGCAGGAUUAUGGUGGCGCUGAACAGCGCUGCUGCAGAAUAGUGGACAGUGGCUGAAGUUUGAAUAAAUCAUUAGUCAAUAAGUUACUCAUGAUGAUAAAUUAAUAUCUCAUACAUGCCUCAUAUUUUUUAUUGCCAUCACAUAGGGUAUGUUGCUCCUAUCAUUGGAAGUAUUUAGUUUUAAUUUGUUGCGUCUUUGUAAUGUAGAGCAGACUGGAGAGUCUGACAGAGGCUGAACAAAAAUGGUCAUUAAUGUCACCAAACAGUGUGUUGCUGCCCCUGAGGCACAUUUUUAUGGAUUUCUAUUGGAUUUUUAUCACUGAUUAAACAGCAAGAGCACUUCCUAAACUUAUACUUUACAUCAGAAUCCAUGGAUAAGGUCCUGUCUCCUCUGUUCAGCACUUAUGUGGAGUCUCUCCUCGUUAUUGUUCUCCGGGCAUCGGGUCAUUGUGCCUAACUGUACUGGCUCAAAUGAUGUCCCACACCCUUUCAGGAGUGUGCAACAACGUCCCUGCUGCUGGGCCAAGACAGAGACACAUGCCUUUUAGGGUCAAACACAACACACUACAGUGGUGUGUGUGCGUAAUGUUAAAACAGCGCUCCUGCUCUGUGGCAGUGUUUUUGGGCAGCGUUAUCAAAUAGGCCUAUUCACUAAGGAUAUAACAAAUUUAUUUUAUUUUAAUGUAUUUACGUCUUAAUUUUUUUAAUGAGAUCUGGGUGAUUAUGCUUAGUGACGGGUUUGAGGUCUGUUCAUGAAUUAUUUUGAGACAGACAUUUGCGAUACCACAGAUCCACACUGACACAAACUUGCGUACACGAUGUCAGACCUGUCUUGAGAUUUGGUCGUAGCGUACGCUCACGUGCAGAUUGAUAAAUGCUGAUCCUCACGUUGCAACUCACGUACGCACAGCUUACGCGAGUUUUCUGCCGUACGCAAACUUGAUAAAUGAGGGCCAAUAUGUGUAGAAAAAAACCCUUAGCACAACUGUGUGUGCUGCAAAAGCCUGCAGCAUCUACCUGUAGUUUGGGGAGGCUGCAACAGCAGCAUACAGCCUUUAACACAGAUCCUGUGCAAGAAAUCAGCUGUCAUUCAAUACAUUUACAUGCACAGUUAAGAUGAGCUACAGAUAUAGUCUAAUUAGGCAACUUAACUAGACUACUGUCCUUGUCCCAAUUUACAUAUACUAGGAAAUCAUCAAAUCAUCAAUAGAAGCAUGUACGCCUCUGCAACAGAAGGUGGUGACACCUAUUCAGGUAUGUCCAUUGGCUUUCAAUCGUCCAAAAAUAGAAAUACAAAGAUACAUUAUUACUGGAUAUUAGAAACUGACAUUAAAAAUAUACAAAACACACAUCAGUAUGUUAAAAAUACUUCUAAAAUGAAUGAAUAACAAGUCAUGUUCAUUUGGUUAUGCAAUACCACACAAGACAGGGUUGCACUGAACAUCGGCACCACUAUAAUUGUGUCAUUAUCCCAAAGCAUAUGGCUGA
Xyrichtys novacula (pearly razorfish) is the source of this 7124-nucleotide non-coding RNA. The record is from the annotation of a GenBank genome assembly. Lineage: Eukaryota; Metazoa; Chordata; Actinopteri; Labriformes; Labridae.